UGUCCAGGGGCGGGAAUCGAACCCACACCCUUCUGCUUACCGGGCAGGUGCCUUGUCCACUCGUCCAUACGUCCAGGGU
Molecule: non-coding RNA, 79 nt
Organism: Cordylochernes scorpioides
Lineage: Eukaryota; Metazoa; Arthropoda; Arachnida; Pseudoscorpiones; Chernetidae
Source: the annotation of a GenBank genome assembly